UACGUAGGGGGCAAGCGUUGUCCGGAUUUAUUGGGCGUAAAGAGCGUGUAGGCGGCUUUACAGGUCCGUUGUGAAAACUCGAGGCUCAACCUCGAGACGCCGGUGGAAACCGUAAAGCUAGAGUCCGGAAGAGGAGAGUGGAAUUCCUGGUGUAGCGGUGAAAUGCGCAGAUAUCAGGAGGAACACCGGUGGCGAAGGCGGAUCUCUGGGCCAGUACUGACACUGAGGAGCGAAAGCGUGGGUAGCAAACAGG
Molecule: ribosomal RNA, 253 nt
Filed under: uncultured bacterium
Lineage: Bacteria
Description: partial 16S ribosomal RNA
Rfam family: Bacterial small subunit ribosomal RNA
Source: RNAcentral